Sesamum indicum (sesame) is the source of this 3116-nucleotide non-coding RNA. The record is from RefSeq and is a predicted model, not a curated record. NCBI's taxonomy places the organism in Eukaryota, Viridiplantae, Streptophyta, Magnoliopsida, Lamiales, Pedaliaceae.
AUCUCACGUUCAUCUCAUUCCAUUGGAGUCGCCGCCAGGCCAAUUGGCAGCUACCUUAUUCCUCAGAUCUACGUUUUUCUACACCUCCUUUAUCAAUUUCGCCUUGAAAUUCUUGUAGAUCGCUAGGUGAUCUUCGUUUUGGUUAUGGCUUUUAGGUACUUCGUACCCGAGCUGAUGUUUGGCCGUUUAUCUCACCGUUCAGCUGAUUUUCAGCCGUUUAAUCUACCGUGUGGCUGAAGUUUGUUUGCGGUGGGAGGAGGAUGUGGCUUGCGAUCGAUGAGGUUUGGGUAGAGUUAUCACAGUAUUCAAUUAUCGGUGCAGCAGAUGCGAUCUGUGGGUUGACUCUUGGUCUCUUACGUCCAGGGGGGUGACUCCUUUUUCAACUGAAUCAUCUUGGAGGCGCUUGAGGUCCAGACUUGGUGUAGAUACCCGUUGCGGUUUAGCUUAAGGCGAUUGUUCGGUGACCUGAGUUUCGUACAUCUAAUCCUGCCUGCUUUUCCGAUUGCGAACUUCUGAAGAAUCAGUCGCAGGCAUCGCUUAUAUUGGUUACAAGGUUCUAAUGGUUUAAUUAGUUUAAAGAGAUUUUGUUGUUAUUUAAUCCUCUUACUGCAUAAUUCUCUUGCAUGCUGGGGUACAUAGAAAAAUAAAUGGUGAGGAGUCAUGUAAAAAAAGAGAGAAUGAGUUCUCUUUUUGAAAAAGUGGAGAGGAGAGACGAUGUGGGGAGAUUGAUGUGGUUGUCUAAACGACCUUUGCCAUGUUGGGUGCGCUCGCAUGGCAGGUCCCUACGUAAUAAAAUUUUAUCUUUUUUUUUUGAGGGGAGAUGGUACGGGGAUUUGCCCGGCUCUCCCCUCUGUGUGUGGUGUCCUUUUCUUGUUUUUCCUUUUCCUUUCUGGGUUUGUUGUCCUAUGCUCCAUGCCUGACUUCACAUCCAGCUCCAUAUUCAGAACCCUACCAACAUAUUUGGUCUUGAAUGGGUUGUGGCGUCUAAGCAAAUACUUAACCCAUUUGAGACCAAAACAUGCCAAGUCACUUUUGAGGAAAGUCAAUGAGCAAGCAUAUACAAGGAUUGUUCAACCGUAACUUUCGACUCCAAAACUAUCAACUGCACUAGAGGUAAAAAAUUGGUACUCAUUAUUUUAUUUUAGUUUGAUGCAGAAACUACCAACUGCAAUUAAGGUAUAAUUGAUGCUCAGUUAUUUUGUGAUAGUUUGAUAAGGAACUACCAACUGCACAGGAGGUUAAAUUGAUGCCCGUGAUAUUUUAUGUUGGAUACAAAACUAUUGAAGGUAAAAAUUGGUACUACUUAUUUAUGGUGGUCUAAUUUAGAAAUUAAAUUGCACCAAAGGGAAAAAGUGAUGCUUGUUACUUUAUAUUAGUUUGGCUACUGUUCUAAUUUUACUAUUUGUUGAAAUUGAACAGCCUUGAAAUAAGAACAUUAACAUUGCUGCCUGUAACUUGAAUCCCUGAGCCGUUAACGGACUACAAUAUUGAACUGAAUACUAUGAUAUAACAUAUUUAAAUUACUAUUUGGCAACGUACACGCCUUGAUUACAUAAUUCUCAAAACAUUGCAUCCUAACAAUCUUUGAUAAUAUCAAUUAUCAUCCUAACCAAUCUUAUUUUAUGGGGUUUACUACUGCAUGUCAACCAACAGUAUUGAUUAUGUUACAUGUCAAUUAUUUGAUUCUGUUGGGUAGAUCCUGAGCUUAUUAGUUCUAGACUCUGUACCUUGUCUAAUUUAUUCUGCUUUUAACUAUAGAGCAAUGAGAGUCGGUCUUACUGUACGAUGUAGUUUGGGCAGAGGUGUUCUGUCUGUAAUAAGGUGCAAUUUGGUUGUGGUGAGACUGGAGUGCUUAUUUGUUCAAGGGUAGUCAAUAUGCUCAGGAAAAAAGCAGGUUGGGUCUUGUACUUGUGGAGGCUUUGCAACUCAUAUUAUGGCAAUACCUGGUCAUGGUGCUGCUGAUUCUUGCGUGGUGCUUGUUGCUUGAACUUCUUGGCUGCUGGUCCUGAUCGGAUUGAGAGUUCCGGAGUACUCAUACUGUUGCUGGUGUCCACUGGUGGUAUCUUAUCCAUGCGAAUUUGUUUGAAUACAGUUGCAGUUCAGAAGUUUUGCGAGGAUCGCCCGUUUUGUUUCACUGUCUUCCAACUGCACAGAUCUCGCCUCAUUUUGUGUGCCUGUUCGAUUCAGAGAUUACCAAUUCCUCAUAGGUCUUGUUGGCCUUUUUGAUGGUUGUACAGUAAGCCCAUCAGGAAAAUAGAUGCAAUUUUCCUUCAGCAUUGUUUUUAAUUUAUGGUUUUGAUGUGAACUGUUGAGGUCUGAUUUGAAUUACUCAUGACUGUAAUGUUUCUAUAUAUUGUUUCUUGAUGAUGAAAGCCAGUUUCUCUCUUUGGGUUUUUGGUAAAUGUACAGAUGGAGUAUGGCAUGGAACUGCUUCGACUCUGCAAUGCUAGUUGGGUGGGGUUCGAUGCUCUUUUACAUGGAUUGGGUUUUUUUGCCAUUUGCUGGUUAAGUGUGGUUUCUGUGAGAGAGCUGCUUGGACAAUCAAUGUCCUGGCAACCCUACGAGGCUCUCAAGGCAGUGGAAUAGGGCAACUCCCCUUCCAGGGGAAGAACGAAACACCAAAUGAGCAAGGGAUUAGCGAGUAAGCACCUGCUGAUCUACAGUAGGAUGACUCUUUUACCCGCUAUCGCAAGCCCACCAGCCAGGACGGAGUCUUGCAGGGAAUGUUUAUGCGCUGAUCUGCAGUACCUGCCACCCCUAGCACACCAGCGAGGAGGAAGUUUUGCAGGGAAUGUUGCGUGGGAAGAUUCUUGUUGACAACCAAGCUGCUAUUGCCAUCGGUCAUAAUUGCGUGUUUCAUGGGGGAGACUUAAUUUUUUAUCAUCAAGUUAUUCUUUCUAAGGGAAGAUAGAAACAUGGGGAUGUGGUUCUGACUACUGCCAAACAAAGGACCAAGUUGUAGACAUUUUAACCAAGCCAUUGCCUGCUUGCAAGUUCGAGUUUUGAGGUCUUGGUUUGGAGGUUGUACCCACUAAAGCAAGGAGUGUUAAGAAGGUGCUUCAUGUCUCAAACAUGUCCAUGUGGUUCUGACUAUGAUUGUUCUUGUUAUUAACUUU